UACGAAUUGUGCACUCUUUAAUCGGAAUUACUGGGCGUAAAGCGCGCGUAGGUGGUUCAGCAAGUUGGAUGUGAAAUCCCCGGGCUCAACCUGGGAACUGCAUCCAAAACUACUGAGCUAGAGUACGGUAGAGGGUGGUGGAAUUUCCUGUGUAGCGGUGAAAUGCGUAGAUAUAGGAAGGAACACCAGUGGCGAAGGCGACCACCUGGACUGAUACUGACACUGAGGUGCGAAAGCGUGGGGAGCAAACAGGAGGCGAUAACAGCGUAGUCC
Molecule: ribosomal RNA, 273 nt
Filed under: uncultured bacterium
Lineage: Bacteria
Description: partial 16S ribosomal RNA
Rfam family: Bacterial small subunit ribosomal RNA
Source: RNAcentral